CAUAGCGACUAUCGUGGCAUAUCAAUAAGCGGAGGAAAAGAAACUAACAAGGAUUCCCCUAGUAACGGCGAGUGAAGCGGGAAGAGCUCAAAUUUGAAAUCUUAAAGGGUUUCCCUUUACGAAUUGUAGUUUAAAGAAGUGUUUUCUGUUGGAGUUUCGGUAAAAGUUCUUUGGAAUAGGACAUCAUAGAGGGUGAGAAUCCCGUAUUUGACCGUUACUUUCCAGCUGUGUGAUACACUUUCAAAGAGUCGGAUUGUUUGGGAAUGCAGUCCAAAAUGGGUGGUAAAUUUCAUCUAAAGCUAAAUAUUGGCGAGAGACCGAUAGCGAACAAGUACCGUGAGGGAAAGAUGUAAAGAACUUUGAAAAGAGAGUUAAACAGUACGUGAAAUUGUCAAAAGGGAAGCGUUUGACACCAGUGUUGUUUAGUUGAAAAUCAAUUCAAUAACUUUUGAUUUUGAGUAGUAUUGACUUCAUCAGCUUGCUGCUUUCUUUUCCGAAAUUAUUGAAUGCACUUUUCAGUUAACAAGUCAACAUCAAUUUCUUUUGUUGUAAAAGGGUAAGAGGAAGGUGGCUUACGCUUCGGCGUAAGUGUUUAUAGCCUUUUACCUCUGCGAUCGGAGAGAUUGAGGACAGCAGCGUAGACUCUUCGGGGUUAGAUACACUUGUGCUAAGCUAUAGCUUUUUAUAGACAACUUGUUGACUAUAUUUAGUCUUGUGGCUUACUCGCUUAUGCUAUUUUACCUACGCUUAGGAUGUUGAUAGUCACAGCUGUAC
This 774-nucleotide ribosomal RNA is filed under the name uncultured Neocallimastigales. Its description in RNAcentral is "partial large subunit ribosomal RNA". It matches the Rfam family "Eukaryotic large subunit ribosomal RNA", at positions 22 to 631 of the family's 3401-position model. Lineage: Eukaryota; Fungi; Neocallimastigomycota; Neocallimastigomycetes; Neocallimastigales. The record is from RNAcentral.